RNAcentral lists this ribosomal RNA (837 nucleotides) under uncultured Micrococcaceae bacterium. RNAcentral's name for it is "bacterial SSU rRNA". It matches the Rfam family "Bacterial small subunit ribosomal RNA", at positions 548 to 1382 of the family's 1533-position model. The record is from RNAcentral. Lineage: Bacteria; Bacillati; Actinomycetota; Actinomycetes; Micrococcales; Micrococcaceae.
GAAUUAUUGGGCGUAAAGAGCUCGUAGGCGGUUUGUCGCGUCUGUCGUGAAAGUCCGGGGCUUAACCCCGGAUCUGCGGUGGGUACGGGCAGACUAGAGUGCAGUAGGGGAGACUGGAAUUCCUGGUGUAGCGGUGGAAUGCGCAGAUAUCAGGAGGAACACCGAUGGCGAAGGCAGGUCUCUGGGCUGUAACUGACGCUGAGGAGCGAAAGCAUGGGGAGCGAACAGGAUUAGAUACCCUGGUAGUCCAUGCCGUAAACGUUGGGCACUAGGUGUGGGGACCAUUCCACGGUUUCCGCGCCGCAGCUAACGCAUUAAGUGCCCCGCCUGGGGAGUACGGCCGCAAGGCUAAAACUCAAAGGAAUUGACGGGGGCCCGCACAAGCGGCGGAGCAUGCGGAUUAAUUCGAUGCAACGCGAAGAACCUUACCAAGGCUUGACAUGUUCUCGAUCGCCGUAGAGAUACGGUUUCCCCUUUGGGGCGGGUUCACAGGUGGUGCAUGGUUGUCGUCAGCUCGUGUCGUGAGAUGUUGGGUUAAGUCCCGCAACGAGCGCAACCCUCGUUCCAUGUUGCCAGCACGUCGUGGUGGGGACUCAUGGGAGACUGCCGGGGUCAACUCGGAGGAAGGUGAGGACGACGUCAAAUCAUCAUGCCCCUUAUGUCUUGGGCUUCACGCAUGCUACAAUGGCCGGUACAAUGGGUUGCGAUACUGUGAGGUGAGCUAAUCCCAAAAAGCCGGUCUCAGUUCGGAUUGGGGUCUGCAACUCGACCCCAUGAAGUCGGAGUCGCUAGUAAUCGCAGAUCAGCAACGCUGCGGUGAAUACGUUCCCGGGCCUU